RNAcentral lists this unclassified non-coding RNA (207 nucleotides) under plant metagenome. RNAcentral's name for it is "partial contains small subunit ribosomal RNA and internal transcribed spacer 1". The stretch from base 1 to 46 matches the Rfam family "Eukaryotic small subunit ribosomal RNA", at positions 1786 to 1831 of the family's 1831-position model. The record is from RNAcentral.
AAGCCGUAACAAGGUUUCCGUAGGUGAACCUGCGGAAGGAUCAUUACUGAGAACUUGCCCCUUGGGGUAGAUCUCCCACCCUUUGUUUACAUACUUUGUUGCUUUGGCAGGCCUGCAUUAGUGCUACUGGCCUUGGCUGGUUAGUGUCUGCCAGAGGACCAACACUCUGAAUAUUUAUUGUCUGAGUAAAAUUAUAAUAUUUUAAAA